GAUGAACGCUGGCGGCGUGCCUAAUACAUGCAAGUCGAGCGAACAGACGAGGAGCUUGCUCCUCUGACGUUAGCGGCGGACGGGUGAGUAACACGUGGAUAACCUGCCUAUAAGACUGGGAUAACUUCGGGAAACCGGAGCUAAUACCGGAUAACAUAUUGAACCGCAUGGUUCAAUAGUGAAAGACGGUUUUGCUGUCACUUAUAGAUGGAUCCGCGCCGCAUUAGCUAGUUGGUAAGGUAACGGCUUACCAAGGCAACGAUGCGUAGCCGACCUGAGAGGGUGAUCGGCCACACUGGAACUGAGACACGGUCCAGACUCCUACGGGAGGCAGCAGUAGGGAAUCUUCCGCAAUGGGCGAAAGCCUGACGGAGCAACGCCGCGUGAGUGAUGAAGGUCUUCGGAUCGUAAAACUCUGUUAUUAGGGAAGAACAAAUGUGUAAGUAACUAUGCACGUCUUGACGGUACCUAAUCAGAAAGCCACGGCUAACUACGUG
Molecule: ribosomal RNA, 497 nt
Filed under: uncultured bacterium
Lineage: Bacteria
Description: partial 16S ribosomal RNA
Rfam family: Bacterial small subunit ribosomal RNA
Source: RNAcentral